UACGAAGGGGGCUAGCGUUGUUCGGAUUUACUGGGCGUAAAGCGUGCGCAGGCGGCUUUCCAAGCGCCACGUGAAAGCCCGGGGCUCAACCCCGGGAGGCGGGUGGAUACUGCUCAGCUCGAGUCCGGAAGAGGAGUGUGGAAUUCCUGGUGUAGCGGUGAAAUGCGCAGAUAUCAGGAGGAACACCAAUGGCGAAGGCAGCACUCUGGGACGGUACUGACGCUGAGACGCGAAAGCGUGGGGAGCAAACAGG
This 253-nucleotide ribosomal RNA is filed under the name uncultured bacterium. RNAcentral's name for it is "partial 16S ribosomal RNA". It matches the Rfam family "Bacterial small subunit ribosomal RNA", at positions 524 to 776 of the family's 1533-position model. The record is from RNAcentral.